CCCAUCAUAACCCAGCGACGGCUCUGCCUGCUAUUUAUGCCGCACACUCAAGACACCAAUUGUCACGAAUUUCCCUGCAAACUGUCAUAUGUAAGUGAAUGUGUUUGGAGGAAGCUGCGGCGGCGGCGGCGGCGGAGGGCGAGCGGCGGCGGAGGGAGAGACGCCACUUUCCAGCCGCCGAGCGAAUCCGCCUGGGCAUGAGGGGGACAUGACGGAGGAAUCUGAGCAGGCUCAGUUUAGCGACACAGUGUCACCACAACAGUGUGCGAGGGGCUCCGGCUGGAGGAAGGACGGAGGGAAGACUGAAUGCUGCACGGAGCAGAAGCUUCAUCCACCCCCCACUCGCUCGCGGUGAAUCCAGCGGUGGAUCCUCUGCUGUGGUCACACAUCAAAUUCUCCUUGACUUCUACGGACGGAGGCCAGGCAGAUAAAGUCCACAGAAACUGGAGAGCGUCUCACUUGGACAUUAUCGUUCAUACAUGCACCUCCUCCAGGAGAAAUACGGAGGAACUGCAGAGUUCAGUGCAUGUCUGAAAGCAGCUGUUUCCCUGCUUCCAGUCUUCAUGCUGAGC
Hippoglossus stenolepis (Pacific halibut) is the source of this 572-nucleotide long non-coding RNA. RefSeq lists it as uncharacterized. The transcript has 3 exons. Lineage: Eukaryota; Metazoa; Chordata; Actinopteri; Pleuronectiformes; Pleuronectidae. The record is from RefSeq and is a predicted model, not a curated record.